Molecule: ribosomal RNA, 301 nt
Filed under: uncultured bacterium
Lineage: Bacteria
Description: partial 16S ribosomal RNA
Rfam family: Bacterial small subunit ribosomal RNA
Source: RNAcentral
CAGUCGCCACGGUAACACGGAGGGUGCAAGCGUUAAUCGGAAUUACUGGGCGUAAAGCGCACGCAGGCGGUCUGACAAGUCAGAUGUGAAAUCCCCGGGCUUAACCUGGGAACUGCAUUUGAAACUGUCAGGCUGGAGUCUUGUAGAGGGGGGUAGAAUUCCAGGUGUAGCGGUGAAAUGCGUAGAGAUCUGGAGGAAUACCGGUGGCGAAGGCGGCCCCCUGGACAAAGACUGACGCUCAGGUGCGAAAGCGUGGGGAGCAAACAGGAUUAGAUACCCCAGUAGUCCCUGUCUCUUAUAA